Molecule: small nuclear RNA, 83 nt
Filed under: Chinchilla lanigera (long-tailed chinchilla)
Lineage: Eukaryota; Metazoa; Chordata; Mammalia; Rodentia; Chinchillidae
Description: U4 spliceosomal RNA (ENSCLAG00000020823.1)
Rfam family: U4 spliceosomal RNA
About the family: U4 small nuclear RNA (U4 snRNA) is a component of the major U2-dependent spliceosome. The structure of U4 snRNA from yeast and human has been reported. U4 snRNA presents a k-turn RNA motif in the 5p-SL related to recognition of Snu13 protein.
Source: RNAcentral
AACUUUGAGCAGUGGCAGUAUUGCAGCCAAUAAGGUUUACCUGAGGCAUGAUUAUUGCUAAUUAAAAUUUACUAGAAUUUUUC